AUUUUGGGUUCCUUGAUUUCCUUGGGAGGAUAUAGUCUUGGGUGAUUGGAUCUUCUAAACCAGUAUUCAUUGCAGAAAAGCUCUCCUCCAAGACUCACCAGAGAGCAUUCGGUGUUCUCAUCUGUCAGCAAGUGUGCGUGGAGCACCUGUGUACCAGAUUCUGUCCGGUCCUAGGGGUGUGAUGGGGAAGAAACAGGCAAGAGCCCCAUUCUUCUACAUUCUUGCAGGGAGACACUGCAAUGCACAAGUAAGCGCAUGAAUAAAGGACGCAGAGAUGGUGACCAGUGCCAGGAAGGAGGACCUCUAGAGAGGAGCUGGAGAAGGAUGGAGAGGGAAGCUCAUGGAAUAUUAAAACAAUUAAGGGAAAUUUUCACGCGAGUCAAAACCUUCCACAGUGCAGAAGCUCGCUUGAUUUUCCCUCCCUCCUUCAAAGCAUCAAUUUGAGGUCCCUGACGACUGAGAACUCGAUCAGGCCCCGAGCGGAGGAGAGUGUUGCUCAGCCCUGGUCUGGAGAUGCCUCCCUCCCCGAGCAGCUGCUUCGUGAUGACAGGAGGUGCCCAUAGAGCUUGAAUCUGUCCA
Molecule: long non-coding RNA, 579 nt
Organism: Heterocephalus glaber (naked mole-rat)
Lineage: Eukaryota; Metazoa; Chordata; Mammalia; Rodentia; Bathyergidae
Source: Ensembl